RNAcentral lists this ribosomal RNA (486 nucleotides) under uncultured bacterium. RNAcentral describes it as "partial 16S ribosomal RNA". It matches the Rfam family "Bacterial small subunit ribosomal RNA", at positions 30 to 507 of the family's 1533-position model. The record is from RNAcentral.
AUUGAACGCUGGCGGCAUGCCUUACACAUGCCAGUCGAACGGCAGCACGGGUGCUUGCCCCUGGUGGCGAGUGGCGAACGGGUGGGUAAUACAUCGGAACAUGUCCUGUAGUGGGGGAUAGCCCGGCGAAAGCCGGAUUAAUACCGCAUACGAUCUACGGAUGAAAGCGGGGGACCUUCGGGCCUCGCGCUAUAGGGUUGGCCGAUGGCUGAUUAGCUAGUUGGUGGGGUAAAGGCCUACCAAGGCGACGAUCAGUAGCUGGUCUGAGAGGACGACCAGCCACACUGGGACUGAGACACGGCCCAGACUCCUACGGGAGGCAGCAGUGGGGAAUUUUGGACAAUGGGCGAAAGCCUGAUCCAGCAAUGCCGCGUGUGUGAAGAAGGCCUUCGGGUUGUAAAGCACUUUUGUCCGGAAAGAAAUCCUUGGCUCUAAUACAGUCGGGGGAUGACGGUACCGGAAGAAUAAGCACCGGCUAACUACGUG